RNAcentral lists this ribosomal RNA (420 nucleotides) under uncultured bacterium. RNAcentral's name for it is "bacterial SSU rRNA". It matches the Rfam family "Bacterial small subunit ribosomal RNA", at positions 356 to 773 of the family's 1533-position model. The record is from RNAcentral.
AGGGAAUAUUGGACAAUGGAGGAAACUCUGAUCCAGCCAUGCCGCGUGAUAGAUGAAGGCCCUCUGGGUUGUAAAUAUCUUUUAUCUGGGAAGAAACACUCCUAUUCUUAGGAACUUGACGGUACCAGAGGAAUAAGCACCGGCUAACUCCGUGCCAGCAGCCGCGGUAAUACGGAGGGUGCAAGCGUUAUCCGGAUUCACUGGGUUUAAAGGGUGCGUAGGCGGGCUGAUAAGUCAGUGGUGAAAGCUCCGAGCUUAACUUGGAAACUGCCAUGGAUACUGCCAGUCUUGAAUGUCGUAGAGGUAAGCGGAAUGUUGCAUGUAGCGGUGAAAUGCUUAGAUAUGUUACAGAACACCAAUUGCGAAGGCAGCUUACUAUGCGAUGAUUGACGCUGAGGCACGAAAGCGUGGGGAGCAAAC